GCUGGCGGCACGCCUUAUACAUGCAAGUCGAACGAAGUAGCAAUACUUAGUGGCAGACGGGUGAGUAACAUGUAGGUAUCUACCCUUUGGCCUGGAAUAACACGAGGAAACUUGUGCUAAUACUGGAUAAGUCUUUACGGAGAAAGCUUUAUGCACCAUUGGAUGAGCCUGCACUUGAUUAGUUUGUUGGUGGGGUAAUGGCCUACCAAGACUGUGAUCAAUAGCUGAUUUGAGAGGAUGAUCAGCCACAUUGGGACUGAGACACGGCCCAAACUCCUACGGGAGGCAGCAGUGGGGAAUCUUGCACAAUGGAGGAAACUCUGAUGCAGCGAUGCCGCGUGAGUGAAGAAGGCCCUUGGGUUGUAAAGCUCUUUCGUCGGGGAAGAAAAUGACUGUACCCGAAUAAGAAGGUCCGGCUAACU
RNAcentral lists this ribosomal RNA (422 nucleotides) under uncultured bacterium. RNAcentral describes it as "bacterial SSU rRNA". It matches the Rfam family "Bacterial small subunit ribosomal RNA", at positions 35 to 502 of the family's 1533-position model. The record is from RNAcentral.